AUUGAACGCUGGCGGCAGGCCUAACACAUGCAAGUCGAACGAGUGGCGGACGGGUGAGUAAUGUCUGGGAAACUGCCAGAUGGAGGGGGAUAACUACUGGAAACGGUAGCUAAUACCGCAUACCAUCGGAUGUGCCCAGAUGGGAUUAGCUUGUAGGUGAGGUAACGGCUCACCUAGGGGACGAUCCCUAGCUGGUCUGAGAGGAUGACCGGCACAGUUGUAACUGAGACCCGGUGCAGCUUUCUAUGGGAGGCAGCAGGGGGGAAUAUUGCACAAUGGGGGGAAGUCUGAUGCAGCCUGGCCGCGUGUAUGAAGAAGGCCUUCGGGUUGGAAAGUACUUGCAGCGGGGAGGCGUUACCCGCAGAAGAAGCACCGGCUAACUCCGUGCCAGCAGGCGCGGUAUUC
RNAcentral lists this ribosomal RNA (405 nucleotides) under uncultured bacterium. RNAcentral describes it as "partial 16S ribosomal RNA". It matches the Rfam family "Bacterial small subunit ribosomal RNA", at positions 30 to 525 of the family's 1533-position model. The record is from RNAcentral.